AAAGGGUCAGCAUGGCCGAUGGGUUGGCGUGGCCAAAGGCCCAAGGGGUGGUCAAAGGGUCAGCAUGGCCGAUGGGUUGGCAUGGCCAAAGGCCCAAAAGGGCGGUCAAGGGCUCGGCACGGCCGAUGGGUUGGCGUGGCCAAAGGCCCAAAGGGGUGGUCAAGCGCUCGGCACAGCCGAUGGUUUGGCACGGCCAAGAGGUGGUCAAGACCAAGGGGUUGGUGUGGCCGAGGGCUUGGCGUAGCCAAAGGCCCAAGGGCUGGUCAAGGGGUUGGCACGGCCAAGGGUUGGUCAAGACCAAGGGGUUGGCGUGGCCAAAGGGCCAAGAGGGGGUCAAGGCCGAUGGGUUGGCAUGGCCAAAGAGCUGAAGGUCAAGGGGUCGGCACGGCCGAGGGACUGGCAUGGCCAGAGGGCUGAGGCGUGGUCAAGGACUUGGCACAGCCGAUGGACUGGUGUGGCUGAGGGGUCAGUGUGGCCGAGGGGUCAGCGUGACCUAGGGGUCAGUGUGGCCAAGGGGUCAGUGUAGCUGAAGGCUCAGCAUGGCCAAAGGGCUGGCAUGGCUGAGGAGCCAAAGGGUGGUCAAGGGGUCAGCACAGCAGAUGGGUCAGUGUGGCCGAGGGGUCAGUGUGGCCGAGGAGUCAGUGUGACCGAGGGGUCAGUGUGGCUGAGGGGUCAGUGUGGCUGAGGAGUCAGUGUGACCAAGGGGUCAGUGUGGCUGAGGGGUCAGUGUGACCGAGGGGUCAGUGUGACUGAGGGGUCAGUGUGACCGAGGGGUCAGUGUGGCCAAGGAGUCAGUGUGGCCAAGGGGUCAGUGUGGCCGAGGGGUCAGUGUGACUGAGGGCUGACCAAGAGGUUGGCACAGCUGAUGGAUUGGCGUGGCUGAGGGUUUGGCACAGCCAAUGGGUUGGCAUGACCGAGGGGUCAGUGUGGUCAAGGGUUUGGCAUGGCCAAUGGGUUGGUGUGGCCGAGGGGUCAGUGUGGUCAAGGGGCCAGCAUGGCCAAUGGGUUGGCAUGGCCAAGGCGUGGCCGAGGUGUUGGCACAGCCAAUGGGUUGGUGUGGCCGAGGGGUCGGCAUGGCCAAAGUGUUGGCAUGGCCAAAGGGUCAGUGUGGCCAAAGGGUCGGCACAGCCGAUGGGUUGACAUGGCCAAGGGGUCAGUGUGACCCCAGGAUUGGCAUGGCCAAGGGGUCAGUGUGACCCCACGAUUGGCAUGGCCGAGGGGUCAGUGUGACCCCAGGAUUGGCAUGGCCGAGGGGUCAGUGUGACCCCUGGAUUGGCAUGGCCGAGGGGUCAGUGUGGCCAAAGGUUUGGCAUGGCCGAUGUGUUGUUGUGACCAAGGGGUCAGUGUGACCCUGGGGUUGGCAGAGCUGGGCAGUGACCCAGGGGUCAGCAUGGCCGAGGGGUUGGCAUUGCCAAGG
Molecule: long non-coding RNA, 1417 nt
Filed under: Cyanistes caeruleus (blue tit)
Lineage: Eukaryota; Metazoa; Chordata; Aves; Passeriformes; Paridae
Description: lncRNA (ENSCCEG00000005921.1)
Source: RNAcentral